This 253-nucleotide ribosomal RNA is filed under the name uncultured bacterium. Its description in RNAcentral is "partial 16S ribosomal RNA". It matches the Rfam family "Bacterial small subunit ribosomal RNA", at positions 524 to 776 of the family's 1533-position model. The record is from RNAcentral.
UACGAAGGUGGCUAGCGUUACUCGGAAUUACUGGGCGUAAAGCGAGUGCAGGUGGAUUUACAAGUCAGUGGUGAAAGCCCAGAGCUUAACUUUGGAAUUGCCUUUGAAACUGUAAAUCUUGAGGUCGGUAGGGGAUAGUGGAAUUCUUAGUGUAGAGGUGAAAUUCGUAGAUAUUAAGAGGAACACCAGUGGCGAAGGCGACUGUCUGGACCGAUUCUGACACUCAGACUCGAAAGCGUGGGGAGCAAACAGG